This 492-nucleotide ribosomal RNA is filed under the name uncultured bacterium. RNAcentral describes it as "partial 16S ribosomal RNA". It matches the Rfam family "Bacterial small subunit ribosomal RNA", at positions 29 to 507 of the family's 1533-position model. The record is from RNAcentral.
AGUGAACGCUGGCGGCAGGCCUAACACAUGCAAGUCGAACGGCAGCACAGUAAGAGCUUGCUCUUACGGGUGGCGAGUGGCGGACGGGUGAGGAAUACAUCGGAAUCUACUUUUUCGUGGGGGAUAACGUAGGGAAACUUACGCUAAUACCGCAUACGACCUACGGGUGAAAGCAGGGGAUCUUCGGACCUUGCGCGAUUGAAUGAGCCGAGGUCGGAUUAGCGAGUUGGCGGGGUAAAGGGCCACCAGGGCGACGAUCCGUAGCUGGUCUGAGUGGAUGAUCAGCCACACUGGAACUGAGACACGGUCCAGACUCCUACGGGAGGCAGCAGUGGGGAAUAUUGGACAAUGGGCGCAAGCCUGAUCCAGCCAUAUCGCGUGGGUGCAGCAGGCCUUCGGGUUGUAAAGCCCUUUUGUUGGGAAAGAAAAGCAGCAGGAUAAUCCCGCGCGGUUCUGACGGUACCCUAAGAAUAAGCACCGGCUAACUUCGUG